RNAcentral lists this ribosomal RNA (403 nucleotides) under Verrucomicrobiota bacterium. RNAcentral's name for it is "Verrucomicrobia bacterium partial 16S ribosomal RNA". It matches the Rfam family "Bacterial small subunit ribosomal RNA", at positions 355 to 776 of the family's 1533-position model. Lineage: Bacteria; Pseudomonadati; Verrucomicrobiota. The record is from RNAcentral.
UGGGGAAUAUUGCACAAUGGGCGCAAGCCUGAUGCAGCAACGCCGCGUGAACGAUGAAGGUUUUCGGAUCGUAAAGUUCUGUUGCAGGGGAAGAUAAUGACGGUACCCUGUGAGGAAGCUCCGGCUAACUACGUGGCAGCAGCCGCGGUAAUACGUAGGGGGCUAGCGUUAUCCGGAUUUACUGGGCGUAAAGGGUGCGUAGGUGGUGUUUCAAGUCGGUGGUUAAAGGCUACGGCUCAACCGUAGUUAGCCUCCGAAACUGGAAGACUUGAGUGCAGGGGCGGAAAGUGGAAUUCCCAGUGUAGCGGUGAAAUGCGUAGAUAUUGGGAGUAACACCAGUGGCGAAGGCGGCUUUCUGGUCUGCAACGGACACUGAGGCACGAAAGCGUGGGUAGCAAACGGG